CACUUCUUUUUAUUUUUCUAUUCACGUGACUUUUUUUAGUGUAAGCAUUGAUAUCACUCUAGUGCUUCUAUUUUAUCCAAUCUUCACAUGCCUUUUUAUAUAGGAGCAAAAUAGAUCCAUUGGAGGGUGAAGUUGGAGUAUCCUCAAGGGAAAUAUUGUAUGAAGGUCACUUCAUAUGCAACAUUAGAGUGACGCUAGUAGCAGAGAGUUGGUGAGAAUGAUGGGAUGUGAGAAGUUUCUUUGGUACAAAGCACAAUACUUUACAUAGAAAGUAUAUUUGAUUUUGUACUUCUGUCACAUCAAUCAGUUGUUAAUCUUUUGAUAUAAAUCUUCUAGUUAGAGGCUUCUUAUGAAAGCUAAUGAAGCCUGAGUAGAUAUUAGAGUAUGUCUUUAGAACUUGAUAAGACUUCAGAUUCUUGGAGGGUUCUGAGACUUUCAGAAGCUGGUAGUCAUAAACUAUAUCAGAGACUAUCUAGAUGGAUGUUUUCUUUUAAAAAAUGUUGACAUUGACAUAUCAAAUUUGACUUGAUACUUCAGAGUUGACUUGUCUGUAGGCAUACUCUUAACCUUUGGUUCAGAGUCUGGACGUCUUCAAAGUCUGAGUCUGUUUUCUAUUUUCUACACACACAACAAACUAGUUAUAGUACAAUUUUUUUGUCUACACUUUGUUAUCAUAAAAACUCAAGGAUAGUUGUAGAAUCAAACUUGUUCGUACAUACAUUACUCAUAUUCACAUCAACCAAAAUCAGUAAAUCAAGCAAGACAAUAGGCAUCAAAACAGAGGCAUGAACAGUAACAUGUAUAUUCAACAAACCAAUCAGGUGAAGACUAAGGAUAAUAAUCAGAAGCAAGAUGCUAAAGAGACUAGGAUUAGUAAUACCAACUUGAAGCACAAGAAAAUCAAUCAUAAUAAGCUUUAGUUCAUCCAAACAGAGGAGGAUUAUACCUACCCACAAUAGUUAAAUUAAGGGAGGUAUUGGUAGAGAAAAAAUAUAUAAAGGGAAAACUAAUAGAAAGAAGAAUAACCACAUACCUAACCAUCAUAAGAACAAAAAAAAGGAUAAAGCUGGAAACUACAGAUAUGAAGAAACCAAUCAAUUACAUGAAAAUAAAAGUAAAGGCCUCAAUAAGAAUAACAUUCUUCAAGAGAACAAUCAAGAGAUUCUUCACGAUAGAAAUACUACUUGGGAGAUAGGGGAAUGCUCCUAUAAAGCCCCUUUACAGAGUAGGAAAAUCAUAAGCAACAACGAGAGGAAUAACUAGAAAAAAGGGAUACCUUAUACGAAAAUCACAAAAAAGAGAAUAAU
Molecule: long non-coding RNA, 1307 nt
Filed under: Lathyrus oleraceus (garden pea)
Lineage: Eukaryota; Viridiplantae; Streptophyta; Magnoliopsida; Fabales; Fabaceae
Description: Pisum sativum (pea) long non-coding RNA (PSAT_LNC014026)
Source: RNAcentral